GUCAAAAAAGUGUCCGCAAAAACAUGGCGGAUUUUCACGUUUGCUGACGCCAUAUGGUUCCUCCGGCUCAUGGCAAUUACCACUGACCAACCGCGAUCCUAAGCAUCCAACAAAGACCUUCGCCCCCCUGUUUUUGCACAAAUAUUUUAUGUUUUCAAGACAAAAUCAUGCCGUUUUUCUCCACUUGUGGAUGCAAAAAUUCGCUGUAAUGACUUUAAAGGGAAGAAUAUUUCUUCUGAAAGGUAAGAUUUGUGAAAAUUUUAAGUUUUUACCUUUUAUUCGACUAAUUUUCGAUUGGCAAAGUCAGGGGCCGAUAUGCGUAUAAAAUCGAGGUAUAAAUAUGUAUUUGUCAAACACUUAUAUUUUAUAUUUACACCAAUACUUCUGGAGCAGACAUAAAAAACGUUGUACAUGGUUAUUUAUACAUUGUGUACAUACAUUUUCUUUCUAGUUUCAGGCACUGGCUUUUGUUUUUAGUGCCAGUUUAUUAGUUUAAACAGCAUGCUGCUCAUGCAAUCUGUAGUUUGCUUUGUUUCAUAAAGAGCAGUUAGCACUAGAUUUAUAUACAGUAUAAACAAGCUGUAUUGUAUCCUUCACAAAUAUUAUAAACUGCUAGUCUUGCUAGGUUUUGUAUCGGCAUUUACCAAUUGGCUGUGUAAUUUAGGCUUUUUUUGUGUGGUUGUGCACUACAUUUCAGUUCAGCAUUGAGCUAUCAUCGACUUGUGCAUACCCAAAUUUGCAUGAUUUAUACUUAUAUCAUUCUUGCAUUGGCAUUACCUUACCCUGGUUGCCAGAGGUUCUGUAUCUUUCUAAAUAUACGAGCGGGAAUAAGGCGAAAGAUACAGAACCUCUGGCAACCAGGGUAGCAUUACCUUGAAUGCUAGAAUGGGUCAACCUGACAACCUCUAUGCCUCAUAAAAAUUUCCAAACAAAAAACCUCCUUCACUCAGAAAAUACCUCUGUCAUGGGAGUCUUGAUUUAUGUUUAGCCAUAUUUAUUUAGAUCCCUUAGAGGUUAACCCAUUGAGUCACAUUGCACCCUACUUUAUUAUUUUACUCUGUCUGAUGCCAGACAAUUUUACUCAUCAAGUAGAGAGUGCUGGUGCUUAAUGGGUUAAUAACUAGCCUAUGUGUAUAGUUAUGAGUCGCAUUGCACCCUGAUGCACCCUUUACUCUGUCUAAUGCCAGAUUAUUUUACUCAUCAAUUGGGGAGAGCGAUGGCGCUUAAUGGGUUAAUUCAGAUUUAUACAAAGUAGGGGUGGUGGUCUGAGCUAACUGGCCAGAACCUACAGUAUGCACCCAUUGCAAUUAAUUUUGAAAUGUACAUGAAACAGUUUCCAUAAAAUAAAACAAACCAUAGAAUAAAACAAUCAUAAACAAAAUAACUUUAUUUCUCAUUUCUAUUACAGGCAUCAAAGUGAUAUGUAAUUAUACAAGAACUGAAGCAAAAAUGUUCUUGCUGUAACAGAUGUAUUGUAUCAUGAUAGUUGACAUUGAUGUAUAUGAUCUUAUUUGGGUGUAACAAUGUGUAGUAAUACAGUAUCUGUAGUAGUAAUCUGUUAUUGCUACCAAAAGAAAAUUGAAAAGAGAUAAACAUGCCAAACAGCCAAAGUCACAGCUCAUGGGACUACAAAGUGAUAAUUAUACUAGAAUAACUUGAUUAUACAGUUAGUUCAAACUGAUUGGGUCAUUCAAAAAAAUAUCCACACCCCUAAUGGAAGAGAUGGGAGGUUGAGCUUCCUCCCACUUUUGGACACCCUUAACUAAUACUUUUACUAUUAUCAGCAGUUGAGUUCUGCCCACGUCAGACAGCACUUCAGACAUCUGUGGAGUUAGUGUUUAUCUUUUCUGGAAUGACUCAUUGGUGAUUAGUAGUUAAUAAUUAUUCAUUGAAGAAUUUAAAUUAAAAUAAUACAAUUUCAACUGCAUCAUUGUGGUGGUAAAUAAUUCUGCAAUAAACAAGAAUAGGUUAUAUAGGUUACUCUAAAAGAGAAAAAGCAUGAAAAAUCAUAUCAAGGGAAAAUGAGGAAUACAAAAGAAAUAUACUAGGUUUUCAGACGAUGCUCGAACUUUGUUGGCAAGUUGAGUGACCCCUUAAAUAUACAUUGUUUUUUCAGAAUUAUAUUUAUCAAGAAACUAUUAGAAGUUACAGAGACCAUAAUCCUAUGUGUAUGUACACCAAAAGCUAAAAAAAUAUGAACAAAUAUAAAGGCCCCAAGCUCUUCAGCCAUAGCUGAAACGUCGAGGUUUAUUUGUCUUAAGCCGCGUUCACACUAGCGGCCCAGGCCUGGCCUGGACCUGGCCUGGGUGUGAACAGGUUUUACCUGGCCUGAGC
This 2334-nucleotide long non-coding RNA is filed under the name Paramuricea clavata. Lineage: Eukaryota; Metazoa; Cnidaria; Anthozoa; Malacalcyonacea; Plexauridae. The record is from RNAcentral.